AUGAACGCUGGCGGCGCGCCUAACACAUGCAAGUCGAACGGCACCCCUCCUCGGAGGGAAGCGAGUGGCGAACGGCUGAGUAACACGUGGAGAACCUGCCCCCUCCCCCGGGAUAGCCGCCCGAAAGGACGGGUAAUACCGGAUACCCCCGGGUGCCGCAUGGCGCCCGGGCUAAAGCCCCGACGGGAGGGGAUGGCUCCGCGGCCCAUCAGGUAGACGGCGGGGUGACGGCCCACCGUGCCGACAACGGGUAGCCGGGUUGAGAGACCGACCGGCCAGAUUGGGACUGAGACACGGCCCAGACUCC
Molecule: ribosomal RNA, 307 nt
Filed under: uncultured Collinsella sp.
Lineage: Bacteria; Bacillati; Actinomycetota; Coriobacteriia; Coriobacteriales; Coriobacteriaceae
Description: bacterial SSU rRNA
Rfam family: Bacterial small subunit ribosomal RNA
Source: RNAcentral